GAGAAUAAGAACCAAAUAUUUAUUACUUAAAAUAAAAAUCAAAUGACAGAAUCCAUCAUAAGAUUUAUCUCCCUAAGGUAUUUAAAAAAUUAGUUCAUGCUUAAAAAUAAAAAACAUCUAAGAUACAAUAUAACCGAAAUUAAUAAAUAAACUCAUGAUGACUUCCUAAGAAAUAAAAUGAGAAUCUUCAAUCUUGACAAAAAUUUGCUUCAGAAUCGGCUUCAAUAGUAUUUUUGAGUUGUUUUCUUGAAUAUUCUUUAACGGCCCACUCAUAUCUUUUUAUUUUUAUCAUAUAUAUGUCUUAGAUGCCCGAAAGACUUAAAAAUCGUGAUUUUCUACACUUCGAUGCAUAAUUUCGUGAAAUCGACACGACUUACCACAUGCCUGCAUCGGUUACAUGGCUGUCGAAUGGUUGAAUAACAAUUGAAGUUAUAAAGUAACCUCGGUUGAGGGUGUUGGAUAGGCUGGUUGGGACUAAUUGAAGCUGGUCAGAAUUUAAGAGUUUGUGAGCUUUGAAAUUGAG
This 523-nucleotide long non-coding RNA is filed under the name Gossypium barbadense (sea-island cotton). Its description in RNAcentral is "long non-coding RNA (GBAR_LNC007958)". The record is from RNAcentral. Lineage: Eukaryota; Viridiplantae; Streptophyta; Magnoliopsida; Malvales; Malvaceae.